CAAAUCCCUAACAAUUUGUGGGAGUUUAAUUCAGACUUUAUGGAGAUACCUCAUCCCGAUGGCAAAUGAGAGACUGCCUCAGCCCCUGAGUGUCAGACUGCUACUUUGGUCUCCAUGAGCUCCAGGGAAGUGUUUGCCUGCAAAGCACAUUCAGCUCUAAUUCAGAUAAAGCUGAUGGAGUUAUGGAAGCUACCUGUCUUCUGCUGCUCUGCUGCUGAUCCAUCGUCUCAGUUGCCAUAGAGACAAGUUCUGGAAGCCAUGGACGAGCAUGGGAGAGAAGCCACCCACAGGCUCUCCACUGGUGGGCUCUGGCAG
This 315-nucleotide long non-coding RNA is filed under the name Chloebia gouldiae (Gouldian finch). RNAcentral describes it as "Erythrura gouldiae (Gouldian finch) lncRNA (ENSEGOG00005015297.1)". Lineage: Eukaryota; Metazoa; Chordata; Aves; Passeriformes; Passeridae. The record is from RNAcentral.